RNAcentral lists this ribosomal RNA (503 nucleotides) under uncultured bacterium. RNAcentral's name for it is "bacterial SSU rRNA". It matches the Rfam family "Bacterial small subunit ribosomal RNA", at positions 30 to 507 of the family's 1533-position model. The record is from RNAcentral.
UAAACGCUGGCGGCGCACAUAAGACAUGCAAGUCGAACGGAAGUCGUUUUAGUGAUUCUGAUAUGAAAGAUUUAUCCGGAUUUGAAGAUGAACUAAACAAUGGCUUUAGUGCGGACUGGUGAGUAACACGUAAGCAACCUGCCUGUUANAGGGGAAUAACAACGAGAAAUAGGUGCUAAUACCGCAUAAGCGCACAGUUUCGCAUGAGACAGUGUGAAAAACUCCGGUGGUAUACGAUGGACCCGCGUCUGAUUAGAUAGUUGGUGGGGUAACGGCCUACCAAGUCGACGAUCAGUAGCCGGACUGAGAGGUUGAACGGCCACAUUGGGACUGAGACACGGCCCAGACUCCUACGGGAGGCAGCAGUGGGGGAUAUUGCACAAUGGAGGAAACUCUGAUGCAGCAACGCCGCGUGAGGGAAGAAGGUUUUCGGAUUGUAAACCUCUGUUUUUAGUGAAGAAUAAAUGACGGUAGCUAAAGAGGAAGCCACGGCUAACUACGUG